AAUGGGAAAUGAGAUUCGUGGGAAGUCAUUGCCUGUGUGUGAUAGGAAGUCACUACCUUGGAAGAUCCCGAGCAGUGCUCCGCUCCUUCCAAGCUCAGCUCCAGUGAGGCUGCUGCCAACUUCCAGCAUUGCUGAGCACCUGCCGAGUGCCAGGCAUUCGCUCACUGGAUCCUUAGGACAGCCUCACCAGAGCCAACCGUAAACACACAGACUCGUAGCCCUCCCGUGAAACUACGUCUCUUUCGCACGUCUCCGUCUCGGCAAUCCUGAAAGAAGCCUAAAUGUGACCAACGGUGAACACUGACAGGUUGGCGGCCAGCCCCUUCGUCCAGAAUUGCAUCCUCGGACCCUCGUGGGAGUCCCACGACCAGGCCACACAACCCUGCCAUCCUCAGCGCCCCUCGCCUCAGCUGAGCCCACCAGAAUCCCUUCCCCAGGAAUUUGGAUCUGAGACCGCCAUGUGGAAGGUAAACCGAGGCAAGCAAAGAAUGAAGCAGAUGCACAGGUGGACGGGCUGCCCUCCUGGGGUCGCUGGUUCUUCUG
This is a long non-coding RNA of Choloepus didactylus (southern two-toed sloth), 543 nucleotides long. RefSeq lists it as uncharacterized. The transcript has 3 exons. NCBI's taxonomy places the organism in Eukaryota, Metazoa, Chordata, Mammalia, Pilosa, Megalonychidae. The record is from RefSeq and is a predicted model, not a curated record.